This 217-nucleotide unclassified non-coding RNA is filed under the name Hevea brasiliensis (rubber tree). Lineage: Eukaryota; Viridiplantae; Streptophyta; Magnoliopsida; Malpighiales; Euphorbiaceae. The record is from RNAcentral.
CGCCACUCAAUAUAUAUUCACAGUCAGCACUUGUGACAGCACUGAAGCUUUUGCUUUGGCUAAUCGCUAGCCCACAAGAAUCACUUGUUCUUCCCAAUCGUUUCUUCUGAAGUAUCAGGCGUUUAAGCAGCAGUUUAGCCAUUCCCUUCCAGGGACACAUGAGCUUCACUAGAAUUCUUUUACUAUUGCUAUUUGAAACUGCUAAGACCAGGAAGGA